CUACGGGGGGCACCAGUGAGGAAUAUUGCACAAUGGGGGGAACCCUGAUGCAGCAACGCCGCGUGGAGGAUGACGCAUUUCGGUGUGUAAACUCCUUUUAUAUGUCAAGAAAAUGACGGUAGCACAUGAAUAAGCACCGGCUAACUCCGUGCCAGCAGCCGCGGUAAUACGGAGGGUGCAAGUGUUACUCUGAAUCACUGGGCGUAAAGGACGCGUAGGCGGGUUGGAAAGUCAGGUGUGAAAUCCUACAGCUUAACUGUAGAACUGCACUUGAAACUUCUAAUCUAGAGUAUGGGAGGGGGAGAUGGAAUUAGUUGUGUAGGGGUAAAAUCCGUAGAUAUCACUAGGAAUACCUAAAGCGAAGGCGAUCUCCUGGAACGUUACUGACGCUAAGGCGUGAAAGCGUGGGGAGCAAACAGGAUUAGAUACCCCAGUAGUC
This 439-nucleotide ribosomal RNA is filed under the name uncultured bacterium. Its description in RNAcentral is "partial 16S ribosomal RNA". It matches the Rfam family "Bacterial small subunit ribosomal RNA", at positions 339 to 795 of the family's 1533-position model. The record is from RNAcentral.